This 769-nucleotide ribosomal RNA is filed under the name uncultured bacterium. Its description in RNAcentral is "bacterial SSU rRNA". It matches the Rfam family "Bacterial small subunit ribosomal RNA", at positions 94 to 863 of the family's 1533-position model. The record is from RNAcentral.
AGUGGCGAACGGGUGAGGAAUAGAUGGAUAACGUGCCCCGGACACGAGGAUAGCGGCGGAACUUCGGUUCCUUUGCGAAAGUGCCGGUAAUACUCGAUGAUCCCGCGGAAUCGCAUGGUUCUGCGGGCAAAUGCUCCGGUGGUCUGGGAGCGGUCCAUCUCCUAUCAGCUUGUUGGUGAGGUAACGGCUCACCAAGGCAUCGACGGGUAGCGGGCGUGAGAGCGUGGCCCGCCACAUCGGGACUGAGACACGGCCCGGACACCUACGGGUGGCUGCAGCAACGAAUAUUCCGCAAUGGACGAAAGUCUGACGGAGCGACGCCGCGUGUAGGAAGAAGUCCUUCGGGAUGUAAACUACUGUCAGGGGUUAGGAACACCGACCAGCCCCAGAGGAAGCACCGGCUAACUCCGUGCCAGCAGCCGCGGUAAUACGGAGGGUGCAAGCGUUGUUCGGAAUCACUGGGCUUAAAGGGCGUGCAGGCGGAACGGAAAGUGUCGGGUGAAAGCCCACGGCUCAACCGUGGAACGGCCCGGCAAACUAUCGUUCUUGAGGCAGGUAGAGGUGACUGGAACGACUGGUGGAGCGGUGAAAUGCGUAGAUAUCAGUUGGAACGCCGGAGGCGAAAGCGGGUCACUGGGCCUGUCCUGACGCUGAGACGCGAAAGCGUGGGGAGCAAACAGGAUUAGAUACCCUGGUAGUCCACGCCGUAAACGAUGCGCACUAGGUAUGAGAGGCUCUGACGCCGAUCGUGCCGCAGGAAAACUGAUAA